AAAAAUUUAAUAAAAUAAAGAAAAUGAAGAAUGAAAACUGAAUAAAAUCAAAAAGAAUAAUCAAAGAAAAAAAUAAAAAUUUGUGGGUUGUCUCCCACGAAGCGCUUUGUUUAAUGUCGCAAGCUCGACAUAAAACUAUUAAAUGUUAAUCUAUUAACUUUGGAGAUAAUACGUCUAAGUGCAGGACUUGCGAGUCUUCAUUGUUUUCAGCAUAAUGAUAAUGUUUUAGACGCUGCCUGUUUACGAUAAAUGAUUCAAUAGAUUUUCCUUUAAUUUCUACAACUCCACUG
This 290-nucleotide long non-coding RNA is filed under the name Lathyrus oleraceus (garden pea). RNAcentral describes it as "Pisum sativum (pea) long non-coding RNA (PSAT_LNC027139)". The record is from RNAcentral. Lineage: Eukaryota; Viridiplantae; Streptophyta; Magnoliopsida; Fabales; Fabaceae.